GGCCCCGUGGUCAAGCGGUUAAGACAUCGCCCUUUCACGGCGGAGACAUGGGUUCGAUUCCCGUCGGGGUCA
This is a non-coding RNA of Clostridium sp. CAG:273, 72 nucleotides long. Lineage: Bacteria; Bacillati; Bacillota; Clostridia; Eubacteriales; Clostridiaceae. The record is from Rfam.